AUACAGACUGAGUCAUCUGUACAUCCAACAGUAAAAAUUCUCAACCGGGUGCCAUUUUAUCAUCUUCACCGGAAAAAGGUGCUUCCAGGCAUGCAGGAGGCAACUCUUUCCCUCAAGAUGAAGGAGAGCCACGGAAUGGUCACUGCACACACAGCAAACUCUCUGGUCACCCCUUAGCUGUGAAAAAACAACAUGCUUAUGUGGAGUCUUGCUCUGUUGUCAAGGAUGGAGUGCAGUGGCACGAUCUCGGCUCAUUGCAACCCCUGCCUUCUGUGUUCAAACCAUUCUCCUACCUCAACCUCCGAAGUAGCUGGGAUUACAGAUCCCAGAGCUCCUUGGGGAAGCCUAAAUAAUUUUGUCAUCAACACAAAUCGUAUGAUUGUUCUUUUGUCCAUCAUCUCAACUUGUAGCCUGAUGUCAGGGAAGAGUUUCAGAGUGAUUCCUAGAGAGAAGAAGAGCACUAGAAGCAGAACUGCAUUGCGAAUCAUCAUAACAGGAAGCCUUCCUAUUUCAGAAAUAAUAUCCAACUACUACCUUGAAUUCUUACGGAGUGAACAAUGCACAUGCAGUUGA
Molecule: long non-coding RNA, 573 nt
Filed under: Cebus imitator (Panamanian white-faced capuchin)
Lineage: Eukaryota; Metazoa; Chordata; Mammalia; Primates; Cebidae
Description: lncRNA (ENSCCAG00000038196.1)
Source: RNAcentral